CCAAUGCAUGCUUUUACAGUAUGAAAAUUGGUGAUUUAUAAUAACUUAGCAAAUCGCAAAGUGAAAACAGGCGAUAAAUCAUUCAAGUUUCUGACCUAUCAGCUUUCGACGGUAUGGUAUUGGCUUACCGUGGCAGUGACGGUUAACGGGGGAUUAGGGUUCGAUUCCGGAGAGGGAGCCUGAGAAACGGCUACCACAUCUAAGGAAGGCAGCAGGCGCGCAAAUUACCCAAUUCUAACAGUUUGAGAGAGGUAGUAACAAGAAAUAACAAUACAAGGCAGUUAAAAUGCUUUGUAAUUGGAAUGAUAGAAAUUUAAACCCUUUUUAAAGUAUCAAUUGGAGGGCAAGUCUGGUGCCAGCAGCCGCGGUAAUUCCAGCUCCAAUAGCGUAUAUUAAAAUUGUUGCAGUUAAAAAGCUCGUAGUUGAAGUUCUGCUAAAAGUAACCGGUCUGCUUUGAAUAAAAGUGGUAUCUUGGUAUGUAUUUAGCAAUGAUGUCCUUUGAAGUGUUUUUUACUUUAUUGUAAUAAAGCAUAUUCAGGACUUUUACUUUGAGAAAAUUAGAGUGUUUCUAGCAGGCCAACGCUUUGAAUACUGCAGCAUGGAAUAAUAA
Molecule: ribosomal RNA, 610 nt
Filed under: Hepatozoon canis
Lineage: Eukaryota; Apicomplexa; Hepatozoidae
Description: SSU rRNA
Rfam family: Eukaryotic small subunit ribosomal RNA
Source: RNAcentral